RNAcentral lists this ribosomal RNA (257 nucleotides) under uncultured Leptotrichia sp. RNAcentral's name for it is "partial 16S ribosomal RNA". It matches the Rfam family "Bacterial small subunit ribosomal RNA", at positions 97 to 356 of the family's 1533-position model. The record is from RNAcentral. Lineage: Bacteria; Fusobacteriati; Fusobacteriota; Fusobacteriia; Fusobacteriales; Leptotrichiaceae.
GGCGGACGGGUGAGUAACGCGUAAGAACUUGCCCUUUAGACUGGGAUAACAGAGGGAAACUUCUGAUAAUACUGGAUAAGUUAGUAUAUCGCAUGAUAUGCAAAUGAAAGCUACGGCACUAAAGGAGAGCUUUGCGUCCUAUUAGCUAGUUGGUAAGGUAAGAGCUUACCAAGGCGAUGAUAGGUAGCCGGCCUGAGAGGGUGGACGGCCACAAGGGGACUGAGAUACGGCCCUUACUCCUACGGGAGGCAGCAGUG